Molecule: long non-coding RNA, 487 nt
Organism: Psammomys obesus (fat sand rat)
Lineage: Eukaryota; Metazoa; Chordata; Mammalia; Rodentia; Muridae
Exons: 2
Source: RefSeq, a predicted model, not a curated record
GCCCCUCCUCUGGCCCCGCCUCUUCCGAGAUGGGACCCCUACACACUCCCCGGGGGGCUCUCUCCACACCCCAGGAGUCCCAUUUGUGCCUCCUGAGCGCAAGUUCACCCAAGUGGGGACUUUUUAGAGACUCUUUUCCUCGCCUCAGAGAGACCUUCUUUGGCUACCCACCCCCUGUCCAGCCGCUCCGACGUGGCUACUUUGCGGGAUGGGCUGUAUAAAGGGCUGGAGGCAGUUCAACCCAAACCAGAGACGUGGCGCUUCUUCUAGGGAAGGCUUAGGUUCCAGCACCUGAUUAAAGGACAGAGAAUGGAGCAGAGAAGAGCUGAAGAGUGUAUGGACUGGGAGACAUGAAGACACAGCCAUGGACCACAGUUGGCCUUCCCAGAAAAAAAAAAAAAAGACAAAACAAAACAAAACAAAAAACCCUGUAUGUGGGCUUUAGGGUGUAACAAAAAUAUUAAAUUAUUUUUUUUAAAGUCCUAGA